GACAAGUCCAAAUGCAAGAUUGUAUGGGAUAGUAAUGGCGUUUCUGGGUUUGAUAAGUCAGAUCUUGAGCUUGAAGUGUUCUUGGUUCAACAUGAUAUGGAGAAUAUGUAUAUGUGGGUUUUUAAGGAAAGGCCUGAGAAUGCAUUGGGUAAGAUGCAGUUACGUAGUUAUAUGAAUGGGCACUCUCGCCAAGGAGAGCGUCCGUUUCCUUUCAGUGUUGAAAAGGGAUUUGUUCGAUCUCACAGAAUGCAAAGGAAGCAUUAUAGGGGCCUUUCAAAUCCUCAAUGUGUGCAUGGGAUUGAGGUUGUCUCAUCACCCAAUUUUGAGGGUCUUGAUGAGGAAGAGCAAAAGAGAUGGAUGGAACUUACAGGGAGGGAUUUGAACUUUUCUGUCCCCCCAGAAGCAGCCAGUGAAUUUUGUUCAUGGAGGAACCUUCCUAACACAGAAUUUGAGCUGGAGAGACCCCUUCCUCCAUUAAAGACUACUCUGCAUCCUCAUUCAAAGAAAUUGCUUAAUGGUUCUGGCUUGAAUUUAUCAACUCGACCAUCAAACCAUACAGAUGGUAAUGGAAUGGAUCUCUCACCUGUUUGCAACAAGAGGAAGAAGGAUUUAUUCCUGCAUGGAAAUGAUGAAGACUGUUGUUUGCUUAUGAAUCAGCAUAAUGAGAGAAUUCAAGAUACGGAAAUGCACCCAAUUGAACUACCCUGGCUAAAUGAUUUUAGUGGGGUAAUGAGGAAUGUGUAUGGACCUGUCACAGGUGCAAAAACGAUUUAUGAGGAUGAACAAGGUUAUCUAAUAAUUGUCAGCUUGCCUUUUGCUGAUCUUAAAAGGGUGAAAGUUACUUGGUGGAAUAAUUUGACACAUGGUGUUGUGAAGAUCUCAUCUGUGAGCACAGCCUGCAUGCCCUUCAUCAAGAGAAAUGAUAGGACAUUCAAGCUCACUGAUCCUUCUCCCGAGCACUGUCCAUCAGGGGAAUUCAUUAGGGAAAUCCCUUUACCAACCCGGAUUCCAGAUGAUGCUAAGCUAGAAGCACAUGGGGAUGAAACAGGAACAGGUCUUGAGAUCAUAGUGCCAAAACAUCGUGUGGGACCAGAAGAACACGAGGUUCCUGUUUGCCUCCGCCCCCAUCUUGCAGUGAGUGAACUUUUGUUGUCUUGAGCAAGGUAUUGGCUGAAGCAGUG
RNAcentral lists this unclassified non-coding RNA (1181 nucleotides) under Hevea brasiliensis (rubber tree). Lineage: Eukaryota; Viridiplantae; Streptophyta; Magnoliopsida; Malpighiales; Euphorbiaceae. The record is from RNAcentral.